UUGACAUAUCUGCAACUAUUUCUCCACAGGACAGAUGCAACACUGUUGGUGAAUGUGCAAACUUCCCCACACUGCUCUAACAAUGUGUCUCAAGACUGACAUGAAGAGAUCACCUCUAGAAGAGAGAAGGUACUGUAUUUAAGUGUCCAAGUUGAGUCAGU
RNAcentral lists this small RNA (161 nucleotides) under Gopherus agassizii (Agassiz's desert tortoise). RNAcentral describes it as "TUC338 (ENSGAGG00000000212.1)". Lineage: Eukaryota; Metazoa; Chordata; Testudines; Testudinidae. The record is from RNAcentral.